GAUCCUGGCUCAGGACGAACGCUGGCAGCGUGCCUAACACAUGCAAGUCGAGCGGAGACAGUGAGUAGCUUGCUAUGAACUGUUUUAGCGGCGGACGGGUGAGUAACGCGUGAGCAACCUUUCCCAGACAGGGGAAUAACACACCGAAAGGUGUACUAAUACCGCAUAAGACCACGGGAUCACAUGGUUCUGGGGUAAAAGAAUUAUCGGUUUGGGGUGGGCUCGCGUCCGAUUAGGUAGUUGGUGAGGUAACGG
Molecule: ribosomal RNA, 255 nt
Filed under: uncultured bacterium
Lineage: Bacteria
Description: partial 16S ribosomal RNA
Rfam family: Bacterial small subunit ribosomal RNA
Source: RNAcentral